UACGUAGGGACCAAGCGUUGUUCGGAUUUACUGGGCGUAAAGGGCGCGUAGGCGGCAAUUCAAGUCAUCUGUGAAAUCUCCGGGCUUAACCCGGAACGGUCAGGUGAUACUGUUUUGCUAGAGUGCGGAAGGGGCAAUCGGAAUUCUCGGUGUAGCGGUGAAAUGCGUAGAUAUCGGGAGGAACACCAGUGGCGAAGGCGGCAUCCUGGCCCUGUCCUGACGCUCAGGGGCGAAAGCGUGGGGAGCAAACCGG
Molecule: ribosomal RNA, 253 nt
Filed under: uncultured bacterium
Lineage: Bacteria
Description: partial 16S ribosomal RNA
Rfam family: Bacterial small subunit ribosomal RNA
Source: RNAcentral